UGGGGAAUAUUGGACAAUGGGCGAAAGCCUGAUCCAGCAAUACCGCGUGAGUGACGAAGGUCUUCGGAUUGUAAAACUCUUUUAGUGGGGAAGAUAAUGACGGUACCCACAGAAAAAGCACCGGCAAACUUCGUGCCAGCAGCCGCGGUAAUACGAAGGGUGCUAGCGUUGUUCGGAAUCACUGGGCGUAAAGCGUGCGUAGGCGGCUUUGUAAGUCGAUUGUGAAAGCCCCAGGCUUAACUUGGGAAUGGCAAUCGAAACUGCAUCGCUAGAGUUUGGUAGAGGAUAGUAGAAUUCCUAGUGUAGGGGUGAAAUCCGUAGAUAUUAGGAGGAAUAUCGGUGGCGAAAGCGGCUAUCUGGGCCAAUACUGACGCUGAGGUACGAAAGCGUGGGGAGCAAACAGG
Molecule: ribosomal RNA, 404 nt
Filed under: uncultured Rickettsiales bacterium
Lineage: Bacteria; Pseudomonadati; Pseudomonadota; Alphaproteobacteria; Rickettsiales
Description: bacterial SSU rRNA
Rfam family: Bacterial small subunit ribosomal RNA
Source: RNAcentral